RNAcentral lists this ribosomal RNA (433 nucleotides) under uncultured bacterium. Its description in RNAcentral is "partial 16S ribosomal RNA". It matches the Rfam family "Bacterial small subunit ribosomal RNA", at positions 29 to 507 of the family's 1533-position model. The record is from RNAcentral.
AAUGAACGCUGGCGGCAUGCCUAACACAUGCAAGUCGAACGAGACCACCGGGAGUGGUUGCGCAUGGGUGUGUCGCGCGGCGGAAGGUUCCCUUAUGUUUCGAAUAACUCUCCGACAGGGGUGCUAACGCCGGAUAAUGUCUGCUAACCAAAGAUAUAUCGCACUGGGUUGAGCACGCGUUGGAUUAGCUAUUUGGUAGGGUAAAAGCCUACCAAGGCGACGAUCCUUAGCUGGGUAGAGAGGAUGAGCAGCCACACUGGGAGGGAGAUACGGCCCGGAAUCCUGCGGGAGGGGGCAGUGGGGAAUAUUGGAAAAUGGGCGAGAGCCAGAUGCAGCUAUGCCUCGUGAGUCAUUAUGGUCUGAGAGUAAUAAAGCUCUUUUACACGGGAUGAUUCUGACAGUACCGGAAGAAUAAGCUCCGGCUAACUUCGUG